RNAcentral lists this ribosomal RNA (393 nucleotides) under uncultured bacterium. RNAcentral describes it as "partial 16S ribosomal RNA". It matches the Rfam family "Bacterial small subunit ribosomal RNA", at positions 523 to 918 of the family's 1533-position model. The record is from RNAcentral.
AUACGGAGGAUGCAAGCGUUAUCCGGAUUUAUUGGGUUUAAAGGGUGCGUAGGCGGUUUGUCAAGUCAGCGGUGAAACGCAAGGGCUUAACCCUUGACCUGCCGUUGAAACUGGCGGACUUGAAUGCGGAUGCUGUGGGAGGAAUGUGUGGUGUAGCGGUGAAAUGCAUAGAUAUCACACAGAACACCGAUUGCGAAGGCAUCUCACAAAUCCGUGAUUGACGCUGAGGCACGAAAGUGUGGGGAUCAAACAGGAUUAGAUACCCUGGUAGUCCACACUGUAAACGAUGAUGACUCGCUGUCGGCGAUAUACAGUCGGUGGCCAAGCGAAAGCGAUAAGUCAUCCACCUGGGGAGUACGACCGCAGGGUUGAAACUCAAAGGAAUUGACGGGG